Molecule: long non-coding RNA, 1055 nt
Filed under: Capsicum annuum
Lineage: Eukaryota; Viridiplantae; Streptophyta; Magnoliopsida; Solanales; Solanaceae
Description: long non-coding RNA (CANN_LNC018182)
Source: RNAcentral
AUCUUCUUCCACAUAGAUGAACGGACACUGAUAUAAAAAAAAAACUCCAUUUUCCUGAUUUUCUUCUUCACGGGUAGAGAAACAGAACAAAGAAUAGAGAGAGAGUAGCAAAGAGGGAGAGAGAGAGAAGGAAGAAUUAAAGGCUAACAAUUUCGGCGAGUUUCUCGCCGGAAAAAGUCGUUGUUGCUUUAAAAUUGGGUUGUGAUCCAUUUUCCGGCACUGUCUGAGCCUUUUUCGAAACUCCGGCAAAACAACAAUCAAAUCAGUUUCCUCCCGUCGUCUUUUCUCGCUCAAAUUUCACUGGAGAUUAUAUAAUGGUCAUCGACGAUUUUCUAAUCUCGUUAGCUUCUGUGAGUUUCUAGCUUCGUUGGGAUUAAUUGGUUAUAGAAUUAGUUAUUCAAGUUUGGUUCGUCGGGUUAGAAAUUCGAGUUGCGGGUUCGUGGAUCGAAGUUCGGUUAAAGGUUUUCGGUGCGGACUUUCUUUAUUCUAAUAAUAUUGAAUUCAAAAGUUACAAAAAAAGGUCCAAUUCUACUCUUUCACCUCUUUUAUUUCAUUAUUGAUGAUAUCUGGUGCAUUGAAUUGAAUACCAUGUUGGUUGAUCCGUGAUGAUGUAAAUUGUUUGUUGUUUUGAUUAAUCGUUUGAUUCCCUUGAUUGUGAAUUGAUUAUGGAUUAUAAUGAAACGGUAUCUCGUUUGAGAAUUAAAAUUGGUUGUUUUGGGGCAGAAGUUAAAAGUUGAUAAAGUGAUUAUUUUUGUUUUGAUUCAUUGAUAUCGAACUUGGUAGUAUCGUGAUAGUCGAGUGGAAUAGGCAAAUAUAGAUUCGGGUAGGCAAAUUUAGAACUUGUGUUUUGGUUGAAUGUUGGAAUGUGCGUGUGAGUGUCUCUUUCUAGUUUAUCGUAUUUAAUUCAUAUGUAUUCAUUUAGCCGGGGAAUGUCCCAAGACACAUUAUAUUUAUUCACCGGGGAAUGCCCCGACGUAUUGUGUUGGUGAAAGACAUUCGUGAUGAAGGACCGUGGCAUCGGGUGAAGCACGAGAUCGUAGUUAGGAUUAAUGUAG